ACUACAACUGAACCUACAAGAACAACAAUGACCUUCAGCAGCAUAUUGAUCUGGACACUGGCAGCAUUAUGUGGAGAAUGUAUUGGUCAGGUGACAGUGACUCAAACUCCCUCAGUGCUGCUCUCUGAACCUGGACGAUCUCUCACUGUCCACUGCAGAUUUAGCAGUAAUCCAGACUGCUGUUAUCACGUUAGCUGGUACUUACAGAAACCUGGAGAAGCUCCUAAACUCCUGAUUUAUUAUACAGAUGUCCUCCAGCCAGGAACUGCAUCUAGAUUCAGUGGCAGUGGAUCUAACAGUGAUUUCACUCUGAGCAUCAGUGGAGUCCAGACUGAAGAUGCUGGACAUUAUUACUGUCAGAGCUACCACUACAUCAACAGUAAAUAUGUGUUCACACAGUGAUAAAGAGUGAUACAAAAACCUCCGUCAGUCAGUCAGAGUCACCGAGACUGAACUGAUCCUGGAGCAGCUCAAACACUGAACACUACUGACACACAGAGGACAAACACACACACUACACACAGAUCAACACACUGAGUUCUGACUUAAAUCAGCUCUAAUAGACUGUGAUCUGUAAUGAGUUCAACUCUGAAUUAGUAAAUUAAAAACUGGAAAAAUAUCAAAGCAAACAUUUAUUCAAAGCAUUAUAAAAUAAAACAUUAAAUGAAUUUACCAAAAAAUAUACACAUAUAAAGAUAUAAAGCAAAUGUAAGUGUAAGUACAGCAUUUCAGUGUCAGUAUCAGCACUAAGACGCUAAACUUCAAUUAAUGUUUAUUUGCUUUACACAUGAAAACAUCCAGAAUAAAUCAUUACCAUAGACACUGACUGAAACAAUUAAUUCAUUAUGUUCUUCAUGUAUUAAAUAACCCAAAUCUCUCUAUCAUAUUCUGAUUCAGUGUGUGAGAGAUGUUGAUAAGUGCAGCGCAUGUUUCUGUUCCUCCUGAAUCUGCAGGUGUUUUCAUGCUCCACUGACUG
Molecule: non-coding RNA, 976 nt
Organism: Danio rerio (zebrafish)
Lineage: Eukaryota; Metazoa; Chordata; Actinopteri; Cypriniformes; Danionidae
Source: the annotation of a RefSeq genome assembly